Molecule: ribosomal RNA, 429 nt
Filed under: Acidobacteriota bacterium
Lineage: Bacteria; Pseudomonadati; Acidobacteriota
Description: Acidobacteria bacterium partial 16S ribosomal RNA
Rfam family: Bacterial small subunit ribosomal RNA
Source: RNAcentral
UGGGGAAUUUUUGACAAUGGGGGAAACCCUGAUCCAGCCAUCACGCGUGUGCGAUGAAGGCCUUCGGGUUGUAAAGCACUUUUGGCAGGAAAGAAACGUCAUGGGUUAAUACCCCGUGAAACUGACGGUACCUGCAGAAUAAGCACCGGCUAACUACGUGCCAGCAGCCGCGGUAAUACGUAGGGUGCAAGCGUUAUUCGGAAUUACUGGUCGUAAAGCGUGCGCAGGCGGUUCGGAAAGAAAGAUGUGAAAUCCCAGAGCUCAACUUUGGAACUGCAUUUUUAACUACCGGGCUAGAGUGUGUCAGAGGGAGGUGGAAUUCCGCGUGGAGCGGUGAAAUGCGUAGAUAUGCGGAGGAACACCGAUGGCGAAGGCAGCCGCCUGGGAUAACACUGACGCUCAUGCGCGAAAGCGUGGGGAGCAAACAGG